CCUACGGGGGGCUGCAGUGGGGAAUAUUGGACAAUGGGCGCAAGCCUGAUCCAGCCAUGCCGCGUGAGUGAUGAAGGUCUUAGGAUUGUAAAGCUCUUUCACCGAUGAAGAUAAUGACGGUAGUCGGAGAAGAAGCCCCGGCUAACUUCGUGCCAGCAGCCGCGGUAAUACGAAGGGGGCUAGCGUUGUUCGGAAUUACUGGGCGUAAAGCGCACGUAGGCGGAUAUUUAAGUCAGGGGUGAAAUCCCAGAGCUCAACUCUGGAACUGCCUUUGAUACUGGGUAUCUUGAGUAUGGAAGAGGUGAGUGGAAUUCCGAGUGUAGAGGUGAAAUUCGUAGAUAUUCGGAGGAACACCAGUGGCGAAGGCGGCUCACUGGUCCAUUACUGACGCUGAGGUGCGAAAGCGUGGGGAGCAAACAGGAUUAGAUACCCUAGUAGUC
This 440-nucleotide ribosomal RNA is filed under the name Vibrio parahaemolyticus. RNAcentral describes it as "bacterial SSU rRNA". It matches the Rfam family "Bacterial small subunit ribosomal RNA", at positions 338 to 795 of the family's 1533-position model. The record is from RNAcentral. Lineage: Bacteria; Pseudomonadati; Pseudomonadota; Gammaproteobacteria; Vibrionales; Vibrionaceae.